Molecule: ribosomal RNA, 497 nt
Filed under: uncultured bacterium
Lineage: Bacteria
Description: partial 16S ribosomal RNA
Rfam family: Bacterial small subunit ribosomal RNA
Source: RNAcentral
GAUGAACGCUGGCGGCGUGCCUAAUACAUGCAAGUCGAGCGAACAGACGAGGAGCUUGCUCCUCUGACGUUAGCGGCGGACGGGUGAGUAACACGUGGAUAACCUACCUAUAAGACUGGGAUAACUUCGGGAAACCGGAGCUAAUACCGGAUAAUAUAUUGAACCGCAUGGUUCAAUAGUGAAAGACGGUUUUGCUGUCACUUAUAGAUGGAUCCGCGCCGCAUUAGCUAGUUGGUAAGGUAACGGCUUACCAAGGCAACGAUGCGUAGCCGACCUGAGAGAGUGAUCGGCCACACUGGAACUGAGACACGCUCCAGACUCCUACGGGAGGCAGCAGUAGGGAAUCUUCCGCAAUGGGCGAAAGCCUGACGGAGCAACGCCGCGUGAGUGAUGAAGGUCUUCGGAUCGUAAAACUCUGUUAUUAGGGAAGAACAAAUGUGUAAGUAACUAUGCACGUCUUGACGGUACCUAAUCAGAAAGCCACGGCUAACUACGUG